GGGGCCACUGUAGCUCAGUGGAAGAGCAUCUGUUUUGCAUGCAGAAGGAUCCAGGUUCAAUCCUGGGCAUCUCCA
Molecule: transfer RNA, 75 nt
Filed under: Sphaerodactylus townsendi
Lineage: Eukaryota; Metazoa; Chordata; Lepidosauria; Squamata; Sphaerodactylidae
Description: tRNA-Ala
Rfam family: tRNA (bases 11-66)
About the family: Transfer RNA (tRNA) molecules are approximately 80 nucleotides in length.
Source: RNAcentral